CGGGACGGGUGAGUAAUGUCGGGGAAACUGCCCGAUGGAGGGGGAUAACUACUGGAAACGGUAGCUAAUACCGCAUAACGUCGCAAGACCAAAGAGGGGACCUUCGGGCCUCUUGCCAUCGGAUGUGCCCAGAUGGGAUUAGCUAGUAGGUGGGGUAACGGCUCACCUAGGCGACGAUCCCUAGCUGGUCUGAGAGGAUGACCAGCCACACUGGAACUGAGACACGGUCCAG
RNAcentral lists this ribosomal RNA (232 nucleotides) under uncultured bacterium. RNAcentral's name for it is "partial 16S ribosomal RNA". It matches the Rfam family "Bacterial small subunit ribosomal RNA", at positions 100 to 334 of the family's 1533-position model. The record is from RNAcentral.